AAAGAAACCAACAGGGAUUGCCCUAGUAACGGCGAGUGAAGCGGCAACAGCUCAAAUUUGAAAUCUGGCUUCGGCCCGAGUUGUAAUUUGCAGAGGAAGCUUUAGGCGCGGCACCUUCUGAGUCCCCUGGAACGGGGCGCCAUAGAGGGUGAGAGCCCCGUAUAGUUGGAUGCCUAGCCUGUGUAAAGCUCCUUCGACGAGUCGAGUAGUUUGGGAAUGCUGCUCAAAAUGGGAGGUAAAUUUCUUCUAAAGCUAAAUACCGGCCAGAGACCGAUAGCGCACAAGUAGAGUGAUCGAAAGAUGAAAAGCACUUUGAAAAGAGGGUUAAAUAGCACGUGAAAUUGUUGAAAGGGAAGCGCUUGUGACCAGACUUGCGCCGGGCAGAUCAUCCGGUGUUCUCACCGGUGCACUCUGCCCGGCUCAGGCCAGCAUCGGUUCUCGCGGGGGGAUAAAGGCCCUGGGAACGUAGCUCCUCCGGGAGUGUUAUAGCCCGGGGCGUAAUGCCCUCGCGGGGACCGAGGUUCGCGCAUCUGCAAGGAUGCUGGCGUA
Molecule: ribosomal RNA, 549 nt
Filed under: Chaetomium elatum
Lineage: Eukaryota; Fungi; Ascomycota; Sordariomycetes; Sordariales; Chaetomiaceae
Also listed under: 1 other name
Description: eukaryotic LSU rRNA
Rfam family: Eukaryotic large subunit ribosomal RNA
Source: RNAcentral